CGGGGGUAUAAACGAAACAAGAUUGGACAUGAACUGAUCGUUGUUGAAGCUGGAUUAGGAGGGAAUUCAUUACAGUCUUUAUCUUUGUCUGUUUGCAAUGUUCGUAAUAAAAAAUUAAAAAAUAAUGAAUACGCAAGCAUAACAGAAAAACUAUGACCAGCUCUUAAUUUCAAUCUUACUACUUCAGAGAGUGGAAGUGGCUGUCUCUCCUAUUACCUAAUCAUUAAACCGGACGCUCUUCGGUCCCGAUACCGGUAAAACUUCAUGCAGGUCGAGUUUGAAGUCCUCUCACCUCCAGCACCGCGGAAGAGGAGCGAUGAGAACAGAAAGCGGAAGGGGGGCAAGCACAGAGCUACAGGCUCCUCAACAAGAUUGCUCAUCAGACAGGAAGGGGUCUGCGAAAGAGGGCCAGAGGUCGCUUUUUGCUUCCUCUAAAGAAAAACACAGUUUCUUCCGGGGCCCCCAGGGUCCUCUGAAUCCCGGGUUAGGGACUUCUAAAUCCGGAGCGCAGUGUGAGGAGGAAAACAAAGAUCCUUGACGCUGAAGAAGCCACACUCACCUGAAUGAAUCCGGACCUGAAAACAGAAGACACAGACUCGGGAAAGAAAGCUCAGUAUCCAAAAUGGCGGCUAACAAGUUCUCAGCGCAGUGAGCACGGGCGGAGGGAUCCGUGGGGCCGAGCUAGCCACGCCCUCUUUCCAGGGACUGGCUGCGCUCCCUCCGCUCGGGACUCACGCCCCGAGGACGUCUGGGCUCCCCCGCCCAGCUUCCUUCGGAGCUGACGCGGCCGGGGACUACUUCCAGCGGCGGAGGCACGGACGGCAGCGGAAACACACACGUCACGUCCCCAGAGUCACCUGCUGGGACGCUCCUUGUAUUUCGCUGGUGUUGCCCGGGGUGCAGGGAGGCUGGCGGAGGAGGCUUGUUUUCCGAGUCCGCGCCCAGUGCCAUGUGCAGCGUUGUUCCAGUCUCUGGAAAAACCGGCCUCAGCACCGCCUUCCAAACACCCUGAGUUAGUCUCUGAUAUUUGCUCUCGUCCCUCGCUCGACUCCACUCGCCAUGGAGGCUUCCCUCCUGCGUUUCGGUUUCUUUCAUCAAAUGACCUGCUGAGCAGGAUUCCACCCUCUCUGGCAGCACACCGCUCUUUAUCCGACUCUAAGCCCUCCUCCCUUAGGCCACCCACCCUGUCUCCUAACCACUCUGAAUA
RNAcentral lists this long non-coding RNA (1207 nucleotides) under Physeter macrocephalus (sperm whale). RNAcentral's name for it is "Physeter catodon (sperm whale) lncRNA (ENSPCTG00005019342.1)". The record is from RNAcentral. Lineage: Eukaryota; Metazoa; Chordata; Mammalia; Artiodactyla; Physeteridae.